AACGAUGCAAACAUUAUCUAAUGGCAAUGAUGAACUGCAGGUCAAAAACAGUUGGUGGGAUGUUUUAGCCCCCCCAGGGAGAGACACAACUCAUUGUUCAUGAGCUAAUUUGUUUUGUCACGUAGCAAAAGUCACCACCUGCAGGAAUUUGCAGUGAGCACGUGAGCGCUUGAGUAACACGAUCCGUAAAACCAGGUGUAUCACUUGAGCAUUCCUUAUGAUGUAUAUUCCCAGUAAGGCAACUUACGUAAUGCAGAAGGAUAUCAUUAAUAUUUGCAUCUACCUGACGUGUACUUUUGCACGACUUCGAAGAGGCACUGUGACAAACAUGUUUGUACCAGUUGUCGUUGGGGCCUAGCACCGUGGAGCGGCCUCCAACCGGAGAGACCUGGGGGCUCCAGUCGCGGAGCCUGCGAAGCUGCGGACUCACCAUCGUGGGGCUGGCCAGCCUCGGAGCGUGGGGAGCAGUGGUGGCUCGCUGCUGCGGCCCUACCCCGGAGCUCGGAGGCACCAGUGAACUGUGACAUCGGGAGCUCGCGGGUCCGGGUGGGAUACCACUUUUCGGAGCUCCCGCAACACAACUUCUCCAGCCCGUGUCGCGGGGUUGGAACGACCUGGCGCGGGGCCGUACAUCGCCCCGCGCGGCCUUAAAUGGCCGUGGGACUUACCAUCGCCCGCCUGGGGCUUCGA
This is a long non-coding RNA of Leucoraja erinaceus (little skate), 690 nucleotides long. RefSeq lists it as uncharacterized. Lineage: Eukaryota; Metazoa; Chordata; Chondrichthyes; Rajiformes; Rajidae. The record is from RefSeq and is a predicted model, not a curated record. The transcript has 2 exons.